Molecule: non-coding RNA, 484 nt
Organism: Hydra vulgaris (swiftwater hydra)
Lineage: Eukaryota; Metazoa; Cnidaria; Hydrozoa; Anthoathecata; Hydridae
Source: RefSeq, a predicted model, not a curated record
UUGAUCUCUUUUUCACUAAUAAAAAAUCUGAAAGAAUUACUUGAAAAGAAAAUGGUUAUCAGGCAUGGCUGUAAUGGUGGUGGUUUUGAUGGACCUAACUAUGCCAAAGUUUUAAAUUUAUUAGACGAAAUGACACUUCAUUCUCCAAUUGAAUAUCUGGAAUGUAUUUAAACCCUGAGGAUGUUUAAAGAAGCUGAAUGCUGUUUUGGGAUGAAACUCGAUAUAUCUUACAAAGAAAAAAUAGACAAGUUUGUGAAGUCCAUGCUUCACUUAAAAGUAUAUGUCUAUGAUGUAUUCUUAAUGAAGAUUUUACUUGGAUGGAAGUUUCACAUAAUCAGGUUCCCUCUCAAGUAGUAUCUCAAUAGGCAGAAGAUCUCGCUCGGUAUAACAUCAGAACAAACAUCUGUUUUGUGUGUGUCAGUUAAGAUGGAAAACUUGUUACAUUUCUAAUAGAUUUUUGACAAGAAGAUAAUUGCAACUAUUA